RNAcentral lists this ribosomal RNA (460 nucleotides) under uncultured bacterium. RNAcentral's name for it is "partial 16S ribosomal RNA". It matches the Rfam family "Bacterial small subunit ribosomal RNA", at positions 338 to 795 of the family's 1533-position model. The record is from RNAcentral.
CCUACGGGAGGUAGCAGUGAGGAAUAUUGGUCAAUGGACGAGAGUCUGAACCAGCCAAGUAGCGUGAAGGAUGACUGCCCUAUGGGUUGUAAACUUCUUUUAUAUGGGAAUAAAAUGAUCCACGUGUGGCUUUUUGCAUGUACCUUAUGAAUAAGGAUCGGCUAACUCCGUGCCAGCAGCCGCGGUAAUACGGAGGAUCCGAGCGUUAUCCGGAUUUAUUGGGUGUAAAGGGAGCGUAGACGGCUAUUCAAGUCUGAAGUGAAAGUUUGGGGCUCAACCAUCAGACUGCGGUGGAAACUGGAGGGCUUGAGUGCAGGAGAGGUAGGCGGAAUUCGUGGUGUAGCGGUGAAAUGCUUAGAUAUCACGAAGAACACCGGUUGCGAAGGCAGCUUACUGGACUGUAACUGACGCUGAGGCUCGAAAGCGUGGGUAUCAAACAGGAUUAGAUACCCGAGUAGUC